RNAcentral lists this long non-coding RNA (14148 nucleotides) under Ananas comosus (pineapple). Its description in RNAcentral is "long non-coding RNA (ACOM_LNC023054)". The stretch from base 6012 to 6209 matches the Rfam family "U2 spliceosomal RNA". The record is from RNAcentral. Lineage: Eukaryota; Viridiplantae; Streptophyta; Magnoliopsida; Poales; Bromeliaceae.
AUACCUUUCUCGGCCUUUUGGCUAAGAUCAAGUGUAGUAUCUGUUCUUAUCAGUUUAAUAUCUGAUAUGUGGGCCAUGCGCCCACCUCGAUAUUAAAUUAAUUUUUUGUGGGGGAGGGCCCAUCCACGGUAGCUUGCUACCGGGGCCUUCGCGCGUCGCCCUUGCGUUGCACUACUGUUUGGGCCUGGCGCACCCCUACCAAUUCUUAACAGCAAAAUGUUUUUAAUUUAUUACUUGCUUGCUGGGCUUGCGUACAAAGGAAGAAUGGUGAAAAUUAUUCUUCAAUUUUUUUUUUUUGUAUAAAUCUGGAAAGGCCCAUUUUUGGAAUCUGAAUAGAAAAAUUAUUUAUACACAAGAUCAAAACUAUAGCGAUAAUUCAUUUUCCUCUUAACUUCCUCUCGAUAAUGUGUGAAACAGUUGGCAAUGACAUAAUAAAAUAGUAAGAAAUAAAAAUACAGUCAGAGGCUACAAUAUUCAGAGAAUCGGAUUUAUAUGCAAACCUCCUAUGGUUGUCAAGUUACGGGCUAAGAGGUAUAGGUAGGAACGCAAAUGGGGCGGGUCCGGAGGCUGGAGUCCCCUCUCGCGUCUCUCAUGUCCCUUCCCAAGUAUCUCCCACCCCGAAUAUGUGAUGGGUUAAGAAAUAUAUCCCAUAAUUCGUUCCGCCUCAUAAUCCAUUUUCUAUCGGCGCUCCGAAUCUUCUCUGCCAAUUAAUAUUUUUUUAAAAAAAUUAUAAUAUUAUUAAUAUUUUAUAAAAUAUAAAUUAAUAUUUUUUUAAUAAUAAUUAUAAUAUUACUAAGUUAUGUAUAUAAUAUUAAUAAUAUCAAUUAUAAAAAGCAAAAUUCAAGUUUUAGACACAUGAGAAAUGAGAGCACCAACUUAUUUGUAUUUUGGACUUUUUUUGUAAAUAUAUUAUUUUUUAGGAAUAUUUUUAAAAUAUAAAUAAUUUUUGGAGUGGAUUCCGAGUGAAUCAUGGCACUGCAGAUUCGGGCCGGGGCAAAUUUUUUUUCGUUUCCUACCCCAAAUCUGUUUCGGACCAUAAAAAUUACUCCGUUUUCUGUCCCGAAUCCGUUUAUUUAUUUCUGUUUAUUGCCCCAUUCGGGAAGGAUCGGGACGGACGCUCUACCAACCAGGAUCUGUUUGCAUUGCCAAUAGAGCGGAGAGCUGGUAGUCACACUUAGGAAAACCAUAAUGCAACCAGACAACCUUAAAUGAACCCAGGACACUGUUGGUUCAAUACGGUAAUAUAAUAUUGGAUUAUAGUAUAUGUAGGAUUACUAGAGUUGGUUCGUUUUAAAAUUCGGUAAUCAAGACAAUAAAGUGUAUUUUAUUCCAAAAUUAUCAUUUAUGAUCAUAUUUAAUAUUAUUUUUUAAUAAACUUAAAUUAAUAUAAUUUGUACUUGAUUAAUUUUAUUAAUAAGCAAAUAUAAGUAGAGGUGGAACUGGGCCCGGGCCUAAACAAGGCCCGGCCCGAUGGGCCAUGUUUGGGCCGGACUUUGGGUAUUAAAAAUAUAACUUGUGGUUCGGGCCGGGUUUAAAAAUUUUGGCCCGAAAAAAUUUAGGCCUAUUUGGGCAUGUCCAAGCCCGGCCCGAGCCCGACCCAAAAGCCCAAUAUAUUAAUUAUCCAAAUAAAAUAUUUAAUUAUAUANGUUCGGGCCGGUCUUACAAAUUUUGGCCCGAAAAAAUUUUGGGCUUAUUUGGGCAUGUCCAAGCCCGGCCCGAGCCAGACCCAUAAGCCCGAUAUAUUAAUUAUCAAAAUAAAAUAUUUAUAUAUAUAUAUAUAUUAUUUAUCUAUUAAAAGAAAUAAAUGGUAUAGUAUAUCAUAUAUAGUAUAUAUUGUUAUUAAUGAUAUGUACUUAUAUAUAUGAGGAUAUAUUAUAUAUCAACAAAAUAUUUAGUUUUAUAUUAGGAUAUAUUUGUUAUUAGAUAUUAAUUUCUUUGAUGUGAUAAAACUAAAAAUAGGUAUUUUAUUUUAAUUUUAUACAAAUAAAAGUAUUUAUGUAUUAUAUGAUACAUGCAUAAAAUGGGCCUCCACAAAGCCCGCUGGGUAUUGGGCAUUGGGCUUGGGCUUAGGCCGGGCCAUCAUUUUCAAAAAAAUUAGGUAAACGCCCGACCCAAAGCCCAACAUUUUUAUUUGGGCCGGGUUUGGGCAUAGUAUUACCCUACCCAAAUCCGGCCCUGUUCCACCCCUAAAUAUAAGACAUAAAUAAAAAAACCGCACAUGAAAACAAUUUAUAAAGCCAAAUUGGUUUUAACCCAUAGAAGAAUAAAUUAAAAAAUAUCAUAUUACAUAAUAAUAUGAUCAUACAAGAACAAGUACAUUUUAGUUUAAAAAACUAAAAUUUUAUUUAUAAGCAAUAUCAUUAACCAAAUAUCUUAAGAAAAUCUCGCUCCAGCCCAGCUCAUUAAAAGACCCAUUUUUCUUAAAAGAUCCACCCCAUGUACAAAAGCCCACCAUUUCAAUCUGAUUCCUUUUAUUGUUUCUUGUCUCGGGUAGUGCCGAAUUCCCAUUUUUAUCAACUUUUUGACCCCAAUUCCUCAAACUAGGAUGAGGGCCUUCUUUAUAUAUAUAUANAGAUAUCCAAAUCAAUUGAAUUUUUAUUAGAAAAUUCUUUAAACUAUUGAAAACAAGAUCUAUACUCUUGAUCUUGAUUACAAGACUCCUAUCAUCAUUUUUUAAAAAAUAUUCAUUUUUAGCCGUUCAUUUUUAUGUCCACUCAAUGGAUAAGAGAACAAUAUCGAAAAUAUAUGAAAUUUGAUUUCUAAAUACUUCAAAUGGUAUAGAUCAUGUUCAACGAUGCCGAUCGUCGAUUUGGAGGCUCCAUUAUCGAAAAUAAAUGGGUGGCAAAAGUGCCAGUUUGCUAUCGAUAGUAUUCUAGCUCAACUCUAUAUAUAUAUAUAUAUAUAUUGAGAGAUUAGGUAGCACGCUACCCGCUUCGUUUAUUUUAUUUAGAAAUAAACUUAGCUAGAAAUAUGAAUCAACUAGGAUUUGAACUUGGAACCUCCAGUACCAACCACCAAGCUCUUUGCCACUUGCUCUAGGGACGGUCAGUAUGAGGGCCUUCUUUAUAGAUCUUUGGAUUUGGCGAUUUGGGCAAAAUUUGUUGUUUUUGUGUUCUCUUGGGUAUUUUUACAAACACCUAAUGUGCAAGGAUCUGCUGUUUUGAUGGAAUUUAAUAAUUUAGGGGUGUAAUGUGAGUCGUGCUGUGCCCCGUGCGGAUUCAGCCUAGGGUUGGCUCGGUUACAAAUCCUGGCCAACCCGUGCCAGCCCGCUUUCUCAGAGAAGAAGGCCUAGCCCGGCCGCUUGGACUGCCCGGCACGUGCUAUGCCGGGCCAAGCCGGGCUUCGUGCUAGCCCAGUAAAAAGUUUUUUUUUUAAUUUCUUCCCAACCGUCUUUUGUUAAAUUUUUUUUUAAUUUUUUUUUAGUAAAAAGAGAUAACUAAUUUUUAAAUUAUACCUUCUCGAUUUUUUUUUAUUUACACAAUUAUACCCAAAUUUUUUUUAAACUCUUGUAAUAAUUUUAUAAAUUUUAAAAAAAGCUAAAAUACUAACCAUAAAUUUAACAUUUUUAAUAUCAUUAAUUUUUAAUAUUAUAUAAAAUUUAAAACAUAGAGAUCAAUAAUUUUAACUUUUCAAAUAUAUUAGAUGUUUUAAUAUAAAUUUUUUAAAUUAGGUUUCGUUUAGGAUUGUGGGAAAAUUGUACUACAUGCGGUGAGAAAGUACGAUGAAAAAAUAUUCUAUUUGUUUCCGUGCGUAAUAUUGCAUUCUGCAUAUGGCAAUGAGUCGGUUAUGAUAUAUUUUUUGCGGCCCCACUAGAGAACGCAGAAGCAUAUUCUUAAAUGCUUUAUCCCGACUCAAUUUUAUCUAAUAAUAUUAUAUGGACUUUAAUACAAAACUAAGCCUUACAUUUCUGUGAUCCAAUAACCAACUUUAAUAUAAAAUUUUUAAUAUAAGAUUAAAUAUUUUGUUGAGAUUGAAACUUUUGUUAAAAAAAAAGUUGUUGAAAAGAUUAAAAAAAUUUGCAAAGCUAACUUGAGGAAAAAAAAUUUUAGAUUGAAAGUUUGAGAGUAGGAAGAAUUAGUGUUUGGGGAAGAAAUGAACGAAGAGUUGUUUGUUGAAAUGAAUUUGAAAAUUUGUAAAAGCAUUUAUAGAUGUAAAAAAAUUUUAAAUUUUUUUUAAAAAAUAGAAAAUAUUUUUGACCAAAAUGUCCUAUCUAACGGUCAAAAUUUUGAAUGCUAGUAAAGGCAUUAUGGUCAUUUUCAGCAAAAAGAUGUCUUUUUUAAUAUUUUUAUCUUUUUUUCAAAAAAAAAUAAUUUUCAUAUAUAUAUAUAUAUAGGCAGGACUGCUGUGCUCUCAGGAGCCGUUUUCGAUGAUGGAAUGUCCAAAUCGACGAUCAGCUCUGUUAGACUUGAUCUAACGUAUUUGAAGAUUCUAGAAAAUAAUUUUUUGCGAUUUUUCGAUAUCAUUUACUUAGCAAUCGAAAGGAUUCAAAAUCAAUAAUUUUUAACGGCUGAAAAUAAAAAUCCUAUAAAACGUGGUGAUAUAGCACUAAAAUUUUCGAUCAGAAAUAUUGAUCUUGUUAUAGAUAGUAUAAAGAAUUUUGUAUCAAAAUUUCAUCUGAUUUGAAUACUUUUACACCGUUAAACUUGAAAACGGUAGAUAUCAACCAUUAAAAAUUAUUGAUUUUGAAUCCUUUCGAUCACUAGGUAAAUGAUAUCAAAAAAUCGCAAAAAUUAUUUUCUAGAAUCUUCAAAUACGCUAGAUCAAGUCUAACGGAGCCGAUCGUCGAUUUGGAAAUUCCAUCAUCGAAAACGGCUCAGGAGCACAGCAGCCCUGCUAUAUAUAUAUAUAUAUAUAUAUAUAUAUAUAUAUAUAUAUAUAUAUAGAGAGAGAGAGAGAGAGAGAGAGAGAGAGAGAGAGAGGGAGAGAGAGAGUUGAGCCGGAAUGUUACCAAUAGCAAACUGGUUUUAUUGCCAUCCAUUUGUUUUCCAUAAUAGAGCCUCUAAAUCGAUGAUCGGCACCGUUGAACAUAAUCUAUACCACUUGAAGUAUUUAGAAAUUAAAUUUCAUAUUUUUCUGAUAUUAUUUUUUGUCCAUCAAGUGAACACAAAAAUGAAUGGCUGAAAUAAAUAUCUUUUAAAAAGUGAUGAUAGGAGUCUUCUAAUCAAGAUCAAGAAUAUAAAUCUUGUUCUAAAUAGUUUAAACAAUUUUCUAACCAAAAUUCAAUUAAUUUGGAUAUCUUUAUACCGUUAAAUGAGAAAACAUCUUAGAUCGACAACUAAAAUUAUAAAUUUUGAGACCUUUUAAUAAUCUGACCAAUAAUGUCGAAAAAAUUAGAAAUUUGGUUUCUAGAUUUUUUAAGUGGUAUAGACCAUAUUCAAUGGUACCGGUCGUCAAUUUGAAGGCUUCAUCAUCAAAAUAAAUAGAUAGCAACGGAACUCAUUUGUUACUAAUAGCAUUCAAGCUCAACUCUCUAUCUCUUUCUCUAUAUAUAUAUACUAGUUGUAAUGCACGUGCGAUGCACGUCAUAUUUAAUUAAAUUAAGUUUAUAUUUAUAUUUUAAAUUUAAAUAAUUAUUGGUGGUAUAUAUCUAUUUAUCAAUUAAAUUUUUUUUAACUUUAAUUUUUUUAAUGUGUAUCCAAAUUUAUAUAUAUGAAAAUUGGAUUUUUGAAAAUCUGAUUACUGUUAUUCAAAUUACUGUUAUUCAGUAAAAAUCAGUAUAUGAAAAUCGGAUUUUUUUUUUUUUUUCGAUGGUCAGGAUUGAAAACCGUAAUUCAGUAAGUAUCAUUGUUUUGAAACCAGGUUUUCUUUUUUUCUUUUUAAUAGAAGUGGAGAUUUAAAAAAGAAGGUACAAUGAAGUAGAUAUGGUUAAUAGGAGGGUGGUCCACUUUGACCUGGUGCACCAGGUCAAAGUAUGAAUUCAAGCCAGGUAUUUUAGUCCCAUAUCGACUGCAGCGAAGAACGGAAGAGGCAAGGAGAGUACAAGAGGAGGCCUCGGUGCGUGAUUUAAACUCAUACCUUUCUCGGCCUUUUGGCUAAGAUCAAGUGUAGUAUCUGUUCUUAUCAGUUUAAUAUCUGAUACGUGAGCCAUGUGCUCACCUCGAUAUUAAAUUAAUUUUUUGUGUGGGAGGGCCCAUCCACGGUAGCUUGCUACCGGGGCCCUCGCGCGUCGCCCUUGCGUUGCACUACUGCUCGGGCCUGGCGCACCCCUACCAAGUCUAAACGCUCAAAUAUUUUUAGUUCAUUCACUAAGCUUAAACAUUAUUUUUCAAAUAGUUUUUUUUGUAUAAAAAACAUAAUUUCUGUAGUUUUUUGUCUUUGCCUUUUUAUUAAUCUGAAUAGAACAACUACUUAGUUUUUCGUGAAUUUUUUUAAAACCAAACACUCUCUGAAAGCUUUUUUGAGUUUUGAGAUCUUUGCUAAGGAAUUGUUUGAUUUCUAAAAAAAUAUAUAAAAAAAAUUUAUUUAAAAAUAAUAUUUUUUUUAGAUUUCACUGUUCGGUUUCAAGAAAAACUUUCUUUUUUGAAAAUUUUUUAUAUUUCAUGUAAAAUUAGUAUUUUUAUUUUUCAAAAGAAAAUCAGAAAAUCAAAAAAAUUAUUUUCAUAAAGUUUAAUUUCUUACCACCAAGCGAGCAAAAAAUAAAACAAAUUUUUUUUUUCAAAAUUUUUCUUUAAUAUUUACACCGGCCCAUUUAAAUCUAGCCAUUCAUUUUUUAAGGUUAUGAUUGACUUUACAUAGUAAUAACCUGCUUAAUUGGUUACCAAUCAAAGAUCAAUCGUAAGAAUAAUGUUAGAAAAUACAUACUAAUCAAUUAUCAAGUUUGAUAAAAUCUAACCAAUCUUUCUUUCCUUAUUUAAUAUUGUUACUUAAUUACCAAAUUAAAUAGUGGCUAAUUUGAUAAGUAAUGCAUGUUCAUAAAUUUGAAUUCAAAAUUAACUUAGGUUUUAACUUUAUUUUUAUAAUUGUAUAAAUUAAUUCAAAUUUAAAUUUUAAAUUUAAUUUUUAGAAAGAAAAAAUUUAUAUUUAAAUGUGUAAAAAAUUUCAAUUCAAAUUGUUAAUUCAAUAUUAAAAUAACAUGAAAGUUCAAAAAUAUUAAUCUAUUUUAAAUUAUAAUUAAAGUGAUAUUGUACUUAUAAACCCAACUUUUAUUAUUUAUUUAAAUAAAAGGUUUCUAUUUUUUAAAUUAAAUUCAAACUGUUAAUUCAAUAUUAAAAGCAACAUUAAAAUUCAAAAAUAUUGAUCAAAUUUAAAUUUUAAAUUUAGAUUUAAUUUAAUUAUAGUUAAAAAAUAAAUUUUAUUAAUCCAUAAUGCAACGGUGUAACAUUUAUACAUGGAGAAGGAAGGGGAUGGAUUCCUUGCCCAUUCCUCCCUGAAACCUUUGCCGCCAUACGAUGUCGCCAAUGCCCUAAAAUCGACACCGUAGCACCACAAUAUUGAGAGAAGAAAGAUGAUUAAUUAUUUAAAAAAUUAUUACGUAUAGAUUUGCUGUUACUUAAAAACUGCAAACAGAUUUAAAUAUGAGUUUGGAGGAACAUAAAAUGUUCUAGAGGGAGAAUUUACAAAAACCCCCUUGCUAACUUAACAUAAUGAAAAAGAGCCCUUACUAUCGAUACCCAAUGAUCGGUACCGAUGGAAACAAUAGCCGGUCACCCCAUUUCAAAAAACUCAUCACAACAGUCCAUCUUGAAUAAUUUAAUGGUGCGUUUGAUUCGUGCUAUCUUUUAAAGAUUCCUAAUAAUCCAAUAGGAAUAAAAAAAAUAUGACGGUGUUUGGCUAAACGCACUAAGUAAUCUAGUUGGUAAUAUUGGAUUUAUUUGGGAAUAAGAUUCAUCCCAAAAUACUAAUCUCAUUCCCUUGAGUGAGGGUGGGUAUCCUCAUAUUAAUGAAUUGGGGUAAUCAUAAUAUGUUUAAUCUCUUUCUUUCUUCCUACCCGCCGGCUAAUUGGUAUUAUUUUUCUUUACAUUCUAACCUUAUAUCUCUCUCUAAACUCAUUUUUCUCUCUAAAAUUCAACUCUUUUUCUCUCUCUAAACUAAGCUUUCUCUUUCCCUCUUUUUCUAAAAUUUCAACUCUCUCACUCCCUCUAAUUUCGACUUUAUUUCUCUUUCUUUUUUUUUUAAUUAUGCUCUCUUUUUCUAAUCUAUGCUCUCUCUUCCUUUUUUCUAAGAAGAUGUUGAAUUUUUGGUAGCAUUAUCUAAAAUUAAUUAAAAAAAUAAAUAAAUUAAUUGUAUAUUUUUUGUAAUCUUAAAUAAUAUGGCUAAAUAAUAUGACUGUGCGAACCAAACACAGGAAUUCCACAUUUUUAGUAAUAUGAUGAACAGGAAUAAAAUUCUCGGAUAUCUUUUCAUUCCGAAUAAUCUUUCAUAAUGCGAACCAACCGCACCGGUUAAGAUUACUUGGUGUAUAGAAGAACUAUUGCUGUUUUAUGAAAACCAAACAAAUAGUGUUUGGGCAAAAUAUAAAAAAAAAAUUAUCUUAUAUUUUUUAAUGAGACCGUAGUAAUUGGUUAUAUAUACAAAAAGCUAACAUAAUUUUUUUCUAAUUGGACGAACAUAAUUUUUUUUUUCAUCAGUCUAAUUUUAUUUGCUACAAGGAAAGCAUUAAAUCUGAUCAAAUUUAUUAUAAUUUUUAUUAUAGUGAUUGAAAUUUGGAACCUUGCCUACGACCAACCAAUCAUUUGCCAAAUGCUUUAGGGAUAGUCAAUAUAUUUUAUGAUUUAUUGUGUUUUCUAUAUUGUGAAUACAUUGGAUGAUUUACAUUUGAGUUGACUAUAACUAUUGAAGAAAAUAAUUUGAAACAAGAAAAAAAAACUUAUUUAUGUAAUUUUAUUUUAUUAUUUUUUAAAAAAAUUUAUGUAAUUUCACUACAUAAAGAAAGCGAUAAAAUUUGCAAAAUACAGUUUUCAACUGCACAUAACAUAACUAUAUAUAACUAAACAUAUCAUUUGUAGUUGUAAUAUUUUUUGCUACAUCAAACUAAAUAAAAUAUAUAGCUGGUAUAUUUUAAACUUGUAUGCAACUCAAACUGCACUAUUUGUAGUUGCUUGAAACUAGGGGUGUAACGGCCGACAAGGCCCACAUUUUCUGGGCCGAAACGGCCUAGUGGCCGGCCCGGCCCGGCCCGUCUUCAAUUUCGGGCUAUGCUGGGCCGGGCCCGAGCUGCCUAGCCUCUGGCUCGACACGGCCCAUAUGCCCGAAAGGCACGGGCCGGGCUGUGCUUUGGGCCGGCCUUUUAAAAUAUUUAUUUUUAAAUUUUUUUAAAAAAAUUAUAGUUUAAAUUUAAUUAAAUCAAAAAUUUAUAAAAAUAAUUAUAAUAUAGUAAAUAUUAGUUUUUAAAAAUUAAAUAAAAUUUGUUUAUUUUUUUUGAAAAAAAAAAGAAAUUUCAACGUAGAGCACCGGGUUUCUGGGGAGGUGGGGGUUUCCGAGGAUGAGAGAGUCUCGGAGGGGGGGCUGGAGGAAGAUAGAGGGGGCGCUGGGGGGAGGGGGGGGGGCGAGGACGUCAAGGAGGUGGAGGGGGACGGCCGGACGGGGUAAGGGCCUUGGAGUUGGGGACCGGAGCUGAGACCUUAGGUGCUGAAGAGGGGGCCAAGGGGGGCGGCGUGGGGGCGAUGGGAGGCGGCGCGGGGUCUUGUGGGCCGGUCCCGGGGCCGCGGGCGGGGGCGCCGCAGGAGGCGCCAUUGGCGCCUCUCCUCUCAAGGUCUAACCUUGGGAGGAGCAUGAGGGCAAGGCCCCAAGGCCCAAGGCGCCUUGGGCCUUGGGAGUUCCAGGCCGUGCUGGCUCGAUUGGCACGGCCCAAGCGGGCCGUGCCAUGCUGGGCCGUCCGCCUCUCCUCCGUCGGGCCACAGAGGAGCAGCCCAGCACGGCCCAGAGGCUCAAGCCAGGCCGGCCCGGCAUGGGUGCUACAAUACCCGUGCCGUGCUGUAGUCCAGCCCGAGACCGCGCCGGGCCGAGCGGCGCUACUUGAAACUAUUUAGCUUUAUGCAAAUGCUAUUGGGUAGUUCUGCAUAAAAUAGGCCCAAUAAGUUUGUUUUGGAUGACUAUGUUUGUCAUUUUGUAAAAAUAAAUUCCGAAUUUUAGGAUGGUAUCCUCAUUUUAUUAUGGUAGUGUAUGAUUUAAUUAUCUUUCACUUCUCUCUGCUGGUGAAAUGAUGAGUAAGAUGCGAUAAUAUAGGAGGAGCUAAAAUGCUUCUUAUCUCCCUCAAAUUUUAUUCUGAAAUUGUAAUUCUUCUUUUAUAUCUUUUAUUAGUUUUUCCUUAAUGAAGGAAAUCAAAUUUAUAGUUUUUUAUUCAACAUGCAUGCUUCAUUUUUGUCUAUACUAUUAUAUUGGAAAGGUAAUGCAAUUAAUGAAACUAAUUUGAUAUUAAAUAGAUUUAUUAAAUCUGAUCAUUAUUCCCUGUUGAAUCUGAUCAGGUUUAAUAAACAUGCUUUGUUUCUUCUAAAAUUGGAUCUAUUAAUAUCCCUUUCGUACUCAAAAUUAUCAGUAAGUUGAAAACACAAUUAAUUUUUAAUCAACAUUAAAGUAUGGAGCAUGACUUUUUCAACUUGAAUUGUGAUUUAAAGAUUAGCACCAGCAGGGAAAAUUUUUUUGAAAAAAGGUUUAGUGUUAAUGUUGGAUAUCAUAUGCCAUAUUUGAAGCAAGGGACACUGCCCAUAAUUGUGAAAAAGCAUGAUCCAAUUGUAUUAAGGGCGUUUGAUUUUUUUUUUAUUUUUUUUAUUUUUUUGAGAAAUAGGUAGCAAGCUACUUGCUUCAUUCAUUAAGUAAAAUGAAUUAGUCAUACAUGAUGGAAGCAACUAGGGCCUCCUAACCGCGCCAACAAAACAGAAAAACAGAAAAAAAAAGAAGAAAAAAAGGCAAAAAGCAGGUCCGUAAAACGAGAAAUGUAAAACCGAACAAACUGAGGAAAACCGAGGAAAACAUGGGUAAAAGAGCGAAGUGAUUGAGACUAGAGUUAUAGCGCGGAUUCAAAUAACGUCGGCCUAGUCCUUGAUCAAAGCCGCGACUUGUUCGAGAGCCCGGGAGGUGUUGGGAGACCCAUCGUGGAAGAUGAUCUUAUUUCGCUCCGUCCAAAUGACCCACCAGAUUGCCGCCAGCUGGGUCAGACUAUUCGAUCUCAUUCUGGUGUUAUGGUUGUCGGAGAUCUAUGUCCAUAACCGCCGAACAUCCCCCGUGUCCAAAUCGGCCGCCACAGAAACUCCAGCGUGGAUUCGGAGAUAUCUGAUGAAGAUACAUGCACCGAAUAGGUGGUCGCAGGUUUCAGGUAGUGACCCACACAACAUGCAAUGCUGGUCCACCGGACUCCCUCGGCGAAUCAAUCUGUCCGCUGUUAGUAAUCUCUUGCGCAAUAGGAUCCAAAUGAAAAACUUUUGCUUAAGCGGGAUUUUUAACCUCCAAAGAUGAGCGUACAAAGGAUCAAUCUACCCUGUGUCUGUGACGAAAUCAUAAAGGGAUUUAACGGUAAAAUUUUGAUUGGCGGUCCAUCGCCACUUUAGUUUAUCAUUUGUGCCCGAUGGACUAUACUGAUUGAGGAGGUUUUUGAGCCGAGCGACGUGAUAUGUUGACGAUUCUGAGAGGUGGUAUUUGUAGUGAGGCCUCUGGUUAUGAAACGCCAUCUCCACCCUCUUACAUUCCAGCAUUGUGAAACUGUGGCCUCCUGAUUGAUGAUUCUACAAAAUAAUCCUGGAAACUGGGUACUAAGAGGGGUUUCUUCGAUCCAAAUAUCCGACCACCACCUGAUGUUUUUGCCGCCUCCAAGUGCGUACGAGACUCUGCAUUUGAACAUGUCACGACAGCUCAUCACACUUCUCCACCACUGCGAGUAAGGUCUAAAGGAUCUUCUCUCAUGUAACGGCCUUCUUCUGGUGUAAUAUAAUGCUGUGAUCAAUCUUCCCCAUAAAAGAUGUCUCUCAUUGAAAAAACGCCACCACCAUUUAGUUAGGAGUGCCUUAUUCAUUGCUUCCAUAUCUUUAAUCCCCAGACUCCCUUCUCUUUUGCUUUUACAUAUUGUUUUCCAACCAACUAGGCAUGAACCACCUGAAAUUUUAGAGCCCCCUUUUCAAAAGAAGGCUCGUCUAAGGGAUUCUAUGCGGUUCAGGACCCAUUGCAGCGCUUUGAAAAUAGCGAAGUAGAACAGCAGGAGAUUCGAAAGUACCGAGUUGACUAGGAUAAUUCUUCCUCCAUGUGAAAGUAGUUUUGCCUUCUAUCCUUCAAUGCGCAUCUCUAUACUGUUAAUGAUCGGAGCCCAAUCUUCUUUACGGAGGUGUUUGAUAUGUAGCAGUAAGCCUAAGUAGCGAAACGGUAGAUUACCUACUCUACAUCCCAAAAUAUCUUAAGGCCAGAGGACCAUUCAAACAUCUUCCAGAGAAACAGUAGGUUACGCAUGGCGGACUUUUUGGGCUCGGAGAAGAAUAAUGUAUCAUCCUCAUAUUGAAGGAUCGCAGUUUGACAAUCGACGGUUGGUCCAAUUCCCUGAAUCAAGUUAUUUCCCCUAGCUGCUUCCGUGAUCCUAGCCAAACAGUCGGCGACCAAUAAGAAUAGAUAGGGGGAGAGCAGGUCCCCUUGUCUCAGCCCCUUCCUUGUUUUCAUCCACCUUGUUGGUUCACCAUUUACUAAAAUAGCGAUUUUAGCAUUGCAGAUACACUGUUCAAUCCAGUUCCACCAUUUCUUGCUGAACCCAAGCCACCGUAGUAUGCUUUGCAGGAAGCUCCAUCUCACAUUGUCGUAAGCUUUCUCAAAAUCCACCUUAAUGCUGGCACACUUAUUCUUGGAUUUUGCACACCAGUUGAGUAAUUUGCUUGCUAUGACGAAAUAGUCAGCUAAUACUCGAUCCUUCAGGAAAGCCGAUUGUGACGAAGAGAUAAUCGUUGGCAAAAUGGUUGCGAUUCUAUUUGCGAGUACUUUAGAAAUGAUCUUUCGAAUUCCGUUCAUUAGGCAAAUCGGUCGAAAGUCGUUAGCCUGGCAUGCUCCUUCCUUUUUGGGAAUUAAUUAAACAGACGUAAGAGUAGUCUGUUGGGGCCGUGAAGAGGUUGUUCUCCUGGAGGUCUGUGAAGAUGUUAAAUAUGUUAUCCUUGACCGUCUCCCAAAAAUGUUGCAAAAAAAUAAGCAGGAAGCCAUCGGGACCGGGUGCCUUUUCACUACCCAGUUGAAAGGUAGCCUUUUUAACUUCGUCUAUAGUAAAUGGUCCCGUAAGGGAAUCCGGGUCGGAAAAGGAGUCCGCUCGAUACAGGUCGGCCCAAUCUCCAAAAGAAACAUGCUCUUCUUUCGCUCUCCCAACAAAUGUUUGAAGGAGUAAACAAAAUAGGAUUUCUUCUGAGCUUCAUUGUUGAUUUGUCUUCCAUUAUCAUCUACAAUAUGCUUUAUCUCGUUGCUACACUUCCGACCGUUGGCCACUGCGUGGAAAAAUUUUGUAUUACAAUCGCCUUCUUAAGCCAGUGCUGCUUUCGCUCUCGUUUUCCAUAGGAUUUCUUCCUCCUUUAGAAUGAGCUGGAGUUGAGUUUUAAGGUUGACCCGUUUAUCUCGUACCUCCGGAGGCAGUGUAUUCCGUUCCUCUAAUAGGUCGAUGCCGCAUAUUUCCUCCUAUAUACUCCUUAUCGCGUUGGCAAUGUCGCGUAUUUCCUCCUGUAUCCUCCUUAUCGCGUUGGAUAUACUAUGAAAUUUCGUCUUACACCAUUCUUUCAUCUUGUUUCUGCAGUGCCUCAGUUUAGCCGUUAGAGUGAGGAUUGCUGACCUCUCACUGGUUACUUCGUUCCACCAGAUUGGUACGCUGUUUGAGAAGUCCUCCCUAGAGAGCCAAACUCUCUCGAACCGAAAUUUCCGCGUAGUGUGAAUACCCCCUGAAUUGAGGAUUAGCGGUGUAUGAUCGGAUGUGAUUCUAGGUAGCGCUGAAACCCUGCAGUGAGGGAAAGCUUGGUCCCACUCCGUCGUGAUUAAAAAUCUGUCUAGCUUGGCCAGGGUCGGCGAGUGUUGCAUGUUUGACCAAGUAAAAUAUUGGUUGGAAAUGGGCAGAUCUAUGACUGCGAGAUUCGCGAUGAGAUCGGAGAACAUGGUCAUCGCUCUUGUGCUCCAUGUAUUCCCGAUACGUUCGAGCUAGUUUCUAGUAAAAUUGAAGUCCCCACAAAUAGCCCACUUUGAGUUAGAGCAAAUCGCACUGAGAGAAAG